GAUGAACGCUGGCGGCGUGCUUAACACAUGCAAGUCGAACGAUGAAGCCCAGCUUGCUGGGUGGAUUAGUGGCGAACGGGUGAGUAACACGUGAGUAACCUGCCCUUAACUCUGGGAUAAGCCUGGGAAACUGGGUCUAAUACCGGAUAGGAGCGUCCACCGCAUGGUGGGUGUUGGAAAGAUUUAUCGGUUUUGGAUGGACUCGCGGCCUAUCAGCUUGUUGGUGAGGUAAUGGCUCACCAAGGCGACGACGGGUAGCCGGCCUGAGAGGGUGACCGGCCACACUGGGACUGAGACACGGCCCAGACUCCUACGGGAGGCAGCAGUGGGGAAUAUUGCACAAUGGGCGCAAGCCUGAUGCAGCGACGCCGCGUGAGGGAUGACGGCUUUCGGGUUGUAAACCUCUUUCAGUAGGGAAGAAGCGAAAGUGACGGUACCUGCAGAAGAAGCACCGGCUAACUACGUG
Molecule: ribosomal RNA, 466 nt
Filed under: uncultured bacterium
Lineage: Bacteria
Description: partial 16S ribosomal RNA
Rfam family: Bacterial small subunit ribosomal RNA
Source: RNAcentral